This 440-nucleotide ribosomal RNA is filed under the name uncultured bacterium. RNAcentral's name for it is "partial 16S ribosomal RNA". It matches the Rfam family "Bacterial small subunit ribosomal RNA", at positions 338 to 795 of the family's 1533-position model. The record is from RNAcentral.
CCUACGGGAGGCAGCAGUGGGGAAUAUUGGACAAUGGGGGGAACCCUGAUCCAGCGACGCCGCGUGAGUGAAGAAGUAUUUCGGUAUGUAAAGCUCUAUCAGCAGGGAAGUAAAUGACGGUACCUGACUAAGAAGCCACGGCUAACUACGUGCCAGCAGCCGCGGUAAUACGUAGGGUGCAAGCGUUAUCCGGAUUUACUGGGUGUAAAGGGAGCGUAGACGGUGCAGCAAGUCUGUUGUGAAAGUUCGCGGCCCAACCCCGGGACUGCAUUUGAAACUGUUAAACUGGAGUACAGUAGAGGUAGGCGGAAUUCCUGGUGUAGCGGUGAAAUGCGUAGAUAUUAGGUAGAACACCAGUGGCGAAGGCAGCUUACUGGACUGUAACUGACGUUGAUGCUCGAAAGCGUGGGGAGCAAACAGGAUUAGAUACCCGGGUAGUC